ACUAGCCCGGAGAUGAUAUCUGAGACACGAUAUCAGGCCCUACGGGGCGCAGCAGGCGCGAAAACUUCGCACUGUGCGAAAGCACGACGAGGGAAUCCCAAGUGCUGGCUCGUAAGAGUCAGCUGUUUCUUUGUCUAAAAACAGAGAGAGUAAGGGCUGGGUAAGACGGGUGCCAGCCGCCGCGGUAAUACCUGCAGCCCAAGUGGUGGCCGCUAUUAUUGGGCCUAAAACGUCCGUAGCCGGUUCUAUAAAUGCCUGGGUAAAUCGUACGACUUAACCGUACGAAUUCCGGGUAGACUGUUCAACUUGGGACCGGGAGAGGCUAGAGGUACUCCUGGGGUAGAGGUGAAAUUCUGUAAUCCUAGGGGGACCACCAGUGGCGAAGGCGUCUAGCUAGAACGGGUCUGACGGUGAGGGACGAAGCCCUGGGGCGCAAACCGGAUUAGAUACCCGGGUAGUCCAGGGUGUAAACGCUGCUCGCUUGAUGUUAGUUGAGCUCCGUGCUCAACUAGUGUCGGAGAGAAGUUGUUAAGCGAGCUGCCUGGG
Molecule: ribosomal RNA, 546 nt
Filed under: uncultured archaeon
Lineage: Archaea
Description: bacterial SSU rRNA
Rfam family: Archaeal small subunit ribosomal RNA
Source: RNAcentral